UUGGUGAGGGGAAGGCAUGCGGCUUACAGAGAGGAGGAGAGAUAGAGGGGGAGGGUUUCAAUUUGUUAUUUGGGGUCGCUUCUGGGAUCAAUUGCUUGCCGGCAUUUGAAUUCGGCUUCUGGGAUUGCGAAAUUCUUCGAUUCGAAGUCACUUCUCUCUAUGGGGGUCCCUUAGAGUUUACGUUUAUCGUGCAAAGCACAGAAGACCCUGCUUAUCGGGCUGUAUCUAUGCUACUAUCAGAGCUUAAGGACGAGGUUGAUGUUAAGAUUGUUGUGGCUGGUAUUUCAACAACCUGCAGUCAGAAAAUUCACAACCAAUUGCAAAAAACCUUGCGGCGAGCAAACAGGCAUAACCAAUUCUGCCAGAAUUGCUGGAGAAUUCCACAACCAAGGUCAUUGAGUACGGCCGGAAGCAUGUUGAGGGUCGAGACGGCGAUAGCACUGAUGUUGGCAAGAGCGGUGAUCCCUUUUCAAGAUUGUUGGGUCCAAAAGAAGAAGAAGGAGUGAACAACAUGAAAUUGGCUUUGGGUUUUGGGGUGUUCUUGCUAGAAAAGCCAAAGACAUUCUCGACGAUGAUGAUAAUGGAGUUCAGGAUUAUGAUUCACCCUGAACAAGAAGGACGGAUAUGCUGUCUAUGCCAACAAGGGGGUAAGGCUAUGUUGGAGCAAAAACUGUGCAGGCAAAGACAUAAGAGUGAUGGAUUUUGGAAUGAAAUGCAGAGGAUAUCAUUUUGUGCUGCUUAAGUUAAAGUUUCCUCUUCUGUUAUAUUUGUGUGUUGGAUAUUGUAGAAAAUUAAUAUAAGUUGUAUAUUCAUGAUAACUGGCUGAUUAAGAUUACUUACAAGGGGUCUAUAUGCACAGGAGAGCUCAGCAUGAGGGUGCUGUUGGUUUACCUUGCCUGGAAGUGUUGCAGUGCGGGGUUGUUCAAGAAAAAAGGUUUUAAAGGAUCCUUUGCAGAUGCAGGAUCUUCUGCUAAGAUUGUGUGAACCGUUGCUUCAGCCAAAACAGGUGCUCUCUCCAUUUUUCAUCUCUUCCAUACUCAAACCCUAGCCGCUCCACCUCUCUCUCCCACACAUAAGCAAACUCCAUCUGAAAGCCGAAGAAUCCAAAGGAACAACAGGGAUUGUAGACUACACAAACUUAGAAGAUAUGAAGUACACGAUCAAAAAGCUUGAUGGCUCUGAGUUUUGAAAUGCUUUUGACCGCCAAUCUGUUCCCUGGUGCUCUUUAGGGUUUAACUAUUUGAUUUCACAGAUUCAUUUCAGACACGGUUGGUCAAGGACAUGGGGAGAAGAGCACUUUGGAAAUGGUAAGGUGCACAAAUAUGGAAAAAGCACGACAGGGGAAAGCUGGGAUAGUGUUGUGGAUGAGGAGACCUAUUACGAGUGAGUCUGGACUUGGUUCUGGUUCUGUCUACAUAUAGUAUGUUGAAGCUCCAUUUCUUGAAAUAGCUUGCAUAUUAAUGCACGGACUAAUUGUGGUUGCAUCCUAGCUAGCUACGAAGGGUCUUUAGUCUUAGCCACGACUUGUAUGAAGGACUGUUCCCAGUUCCUGGUGGGGUUGUGAAUAUGACUCUACAGAUGGCCUACAGAUGGACUAGCUACUUACAAUCCUUCUUAUCAUCUUUGAGUAAGAAAAAUCAAAGCAUUAAUUAUUCUGCAUGAGUUUUCAUGCAUUCACCAUCGUGUGAAUACAUCAGAGUUUUUGGCCAAAUUUUCCACAUAAAAUUUAAUCCUCUCAACUUCCUAACAUUAUCAAACAUUAAUUUAAUCCUCUGAACAAAUUAAAGAAAGAUAGUUUUAAAGUUGAAUCUGAUCUGGAGAUAAAGUUGACACGGCAACUUGAUGAUGUUGCUGGUGAUGUAUCUGGAAUUUGUUUAUGGUUUUGCCAACUAUACAAACUAAGUCGUUUUUGCUCUUA
RNA transcript from Pyrus x bretschneideri (Chinese white pear), 1918 nucleotides. RefSeq lists it as uncharacterized. Lineage: Eukaryota; Viridiplantae; Streptophyta; Magnoliopsida; Rosales; Rosaceae. The record is from RefSeq and is a predicted model, not a curated record. The transcript has 14 exons.